Molecule: ribosomal RNA, 763 nt
Filed under: uncultured Streptococcus sp.
Lineage: Bacteria; Bacillati; Bacillota; Bacilli; Lactobacillales; Streptococcaceae
Description: bacterial SSU rRNA
Rfam family: Bacterial small subunit ribosomal RNA
Source: RNAcentral
GACGAACGCUGGCGGCGUGCCUAAUACAUGCAAGUAGAACGCUGAAGGGAGAGCUUGCUCUUCUGGAUGAGUUGCGAACGGGUGAGUAACGCGUAGGUAACCUGCCUGGUAGCGGGGGAUAACUAUUGGAAACGAUAGCUAAUACCGCAUAACAUUGACUAUUGCAUGAUAGUCAAUUGAAAGGUGCAAUUGCACUACUACCAGAUGGACCUGCGUUGUAUUAGCUAGUUGGUGGGGUAACGGCUCACCAAGGCGACGAUACAUAGCCGACCUGAGAGGGUGAUCGGCCACACUGGGACUGAGACACGGCCCAGACUCCUACGGGAGGCAGCAGUAGGGAAUCUUCGGCAAUGGACGGAAGUCUGACCGAGCAACGCCGCGUGAGUGAAGAAGGUUUUCGGAUCGUAAAGCUCUGUUGUAAGAGAAGAACGAGUGUGAGAGUGGAAAGUUCACACUGUGACGGUAUCUUACCAGAAAGGGACGGCUAACUACGUGCCAGCAGCCGCGGUAAUACGUAGGUCCCGAGCGUUGUCCGGAUUUAUUGGGCGUAAAGCGAGCGCAGGCGGUUAGAUAAGUCUGAAGUUAAAGGCUGUGGCUUAACCAUAGUACGCUUUGGAAACUGUUUAACUUGAGUGCAGAAGGGGAGAGUGGAAUUCCAUGUGUAGCGGUGAAAUGCGUAGAUAUAUGGAGGAACACCGGUGGCGAAAGCGGCUCUCUGGUCUGUAACUGACGCUGAGGCUCGAAAGCGUGGGGAGCAAACAGG